ACAUAUCCAUUAUAAUUUUUUUCCUCUAUCAAUCUAAUCUUCAGGAAGAUGUGAAAGAUUAGGAAUUUUUAUCAACAGCCUUUUUCCCCAAUUCCCUAAUGCCAUGCAGCAAAUUUAUUAUUUUUUUUGCACGAAUAAAAAUCACCUUGUCUGCAGGAUGUCAUGAAGAGCAGAUCCCUUGCAUUAACUUAAGGAAAUGUGAUUGGCUAAAACGGAAACACUGGGUAUGAUGGAGAAGAGAUAUACAUUACACAGAGGAAACGACACUUGACUAUCGAGGUUCUAUAGCAAAGGGAAAGAACGGCAAGUACCUGUCUGUCAAUGUAGAGUAGUCGGGUUCAAGCAAAUUAUCAAUAUCAUUAUACACGUCAUAUAUAAAACUAGUCCCAUCCAUGGAUGUUCUAUAAACAUUCUGUUUAAGAUGCCAUUUUUGCCCCGUAAUUAAUAAAACAAUAUACUUUAACAGUAUUUGCAAAAAUACUUACAUUUGAAUACUUCUAAGCAUGGAUAUUUUACUGUGUUCAUUUUUAUCUGAAAUUUCAGUUUUGAUAAUGCUUGUGUAUCCAUAGAUCUCAACAAUUUACAAACACACAUGAAGCAUCCCGUGCAUUGCACAUCUAGUCAUUGUAUUCUUAGUCAGAGGUAUCCAAGAAAUCUGUUCAGUUACUUGGGAAUGGAGCUGUUCCAAAACCUUGAUCAUUCACUUGUACAAUGUGUGUCAUACACAAGACAAGAUGUUGAAUAUCGUAAGAUAAAUGCAGGUAAGUUUGGUCCAGUAUAUCAGACUAUAGAUACAGCUGUACCUGGAAAUGAACCUGUUCUAAAGAAGAUUACUUGAAAUGCAGCCUCUCCUUGUACAUGUUGUAAGGUCAAAGUAUCAAUAGCCCUUCCUAAAGCCUGUAAACUCUAACUUAUGUACCUGUUAAUGUAAAUGGAUGGAUGUCUAUCUCGGCUUGGGGUAAACAGCUGAGUGUGACUCUACUCCGCUUAGCUUUUAAACCCAAGUCCACUGGCUCAAAAUCAACAUAUGCCCGUCAGUCUGUGACUGGUUAAAAGUCUGGCGGACUGACUGACGUUUGUUUUAGUCAGUCCGAUCGGUCUGGUUAUAAUUUCCUAAAGCAUCAUUUUGGAAAAUAUACUUAUAUGAAAUCUUAAACACACAUUUGGCAUUCCUCUGUAGAUAUCAGACGAACCUGAUUAGUAAAUAUAAAUCUCACAUAAGUACAUGUACAAUAUUGUCUGAGGCAUAUUGAGUUGAAUUCCAUUAUUUCAAAUUAAUAACAUUAACGAAAUAGGUUUAAUUAUUUCUGGAAAACUCUGGUGGAGUGGUAAAUUUUUCUACGGACUGGUUGAAACAUACUCUAUCAGUCCGGCUGGACUGGUGCCAUAAAAAGUUAGUUUCAAGUCCUGUUUUUCUAUCUAUAAAUAAUGGAAGAGAAGGGGGGAGGUGGAGUGGUUGGAUAGUCAAUAGUUUGAUAGCUAGCAUAUUUCUGUUGAUGUCUGCACCUAUUUCACAGUUACAUAGUGUUACUAUGGUAUACCAUCAUCCAGUCAUACCUAACAUUAUAUUCUUCAACACUGAGAGAAAGUCCUUAGUUUUUUGCACAUCUGAGCUCACGAUGCAGGAUGUCACUUAAAGCUAGAAUGAGCUGAAUUAGAUGCUCUGCUUUGCGGCCAGAAACAGCCGGCAAUUCCCUGUCACCGAAAUAUGUAUAUUACUACAAAAUAUAAAAGUACAAUUCAAAUCAUCUAAUCCAAUACCUGGAUAAUCUAUUCCACUGUAUGUUUCGACCCUAAUUUUAAAGACUAGCUAUCGUUGUUUUGUAUUUAUGUUCUUUACAAUCAGCAUUAGCCAGCAUCCCGUCUAAACUGGCAUACACAAACUUUAAUUGUCUCCCAAAACAUGUCGAUAAGACAGGGUUGGUUUUUUUUUUUUUACUGUAUUACCAAAACUUGUUCAGAUAAAAUCAUUAAUGUAACAUCUAAGGUAACCAUUUAACAAUUUGACACAUUGCCCAAAGGGAGAACAUGCAACACAAUUUAACACUUGUGACUUGAAAAUUUUACAUCAGUCCUGCAUAAUUCUCACUAAUGUGAUUGCUGAUGGCCGUCGGUCAAGGUGCAAAUUAGUGCAAAGGAGGGAGGGUGCAGGAUGGUGUUUGCUCCCUCCUGCUGGGGAUGGGGGUCCAGUCUCCCCCAGAAAAUUUUGAAGAUAAACUGCCUCCCCUAGAAAAUUUUGAGGAUAAAAAAAAAAACUGACAAAUUUUAGGAUGUUACAUGGAAAUUCAAUGACUAAUUUUUAUUCAUAUUUUUCACAAAUUCUUACAUCAAACUACAGUACGAUGAACAUUAUUUAAAAACUCAUAUUUAUUGUGUUUCGACAAAACAUUGUAGUCAAUCAAAUAUUGUUUAUCUACCUAUUUUUCUAAAGGCUGUAAUGGCAUGGUGAUUUUAAUCAUGUUGGUCAAUUUUAGCAGAAAACUAAUAACCUCAAUGAGACAUGAUUUUGUCCUUCAAAUAGAAAGUAGAUGGAUGUCGGCAUAAUUCACAACAAUUUUCGCAAAGGUCAUUUUCACAACAACCAAUCAGAGCUUACUCACACAUGCAUGCACACAGAAUUUGGUGUUUUCCAUCUUAUAAAUAUAUCGAGUGCUCAAAUAAGUUUUAAUUUAGGACAAAUACCAAAAGAAAAGUAAAUUAUACAGUAAAACACAGUUAUAGCAAACUUCAGGUUCAGCAAAACAGUUCAUUAUAACCAAACUUAGUUAUAUCCAAUGAAAAUUUUCUUAAUUUCCUCACAUAUGGGAAUAAAUAUCACUUCACAAUAAACGUGAAUUCAUUAUAAGCUUGCUCAUUAAAAGUAGGUUUUACUGUAAUGUUUUUUAUUGACUUUCUGAUUAAUAUCACACCUGUCUGAAAUAUCACACCUGUCCGAAAUAUCCAACACUUUCCCUUAUCCGAUUCUAAUCUUUUACUACUGCAUUGGAUUACUUAUGAAUGAUAUUACAUUAGUCUGGGGCAUAAUAUACUAGCCUCGGUCUACCGGAGUUACAAAUUAGUAUUAAAACCCUGCACAAUUAUGGGUAUGGUUGCAGUGAUUUUUUACUAGGCAUUUAGAGAACGGGACUGGGACCAAUAAAAUUCCAGGAAACACAAGUAUUCAUGAACACUGCCUCUAUAACUAUAAAAUAACAUAUCAAUCACACUUAGAGCAUUGUUUUACAGUUUCUGAUCAGGACUGGGGUCCAAUUUCAGUCCAGACUGAAAUCACUUAUUUGCAAACUACACAGAAUUCUUUAAAUCAAAAAGAAAUUUUAAAAGUAACUUGGUAUUUAGCUAUAAACUCCUUUGGUUUACCUUUGAAACGUCCCCCAUGUAUUAAUUCCACUGUGAUAAACACUGACUAAAAAUCACUUUGCUGAAUCGGUCCGGGACAGACACCAUGCACUGGCUUCCUGGGCUGACCCCCCCUUACUUCCUCAAAGAGCACAGUAUCACUCAAUUGUAAAAUUCCAAAGCUCCCACAAGUCCUCAUGGGAGUCCAUUAUAUAGAAACAUCCCCACGAAUUAUACCAUUGACUUGUUGCCCUUCGUUGAACAAAAUCUUAGGUCUGUGUUUGGUAAUACAGUUAGUUGUCUAACUCAGAAAAGCAAAUACCUUUUCAUAGCAGGCCUCUUUUGUGUACAUAAGUGGUUCCUUAACUAAACAAGGCAAGUGUUUAUCACGAAAACCUAACAUUCAAAUACUCAUGUAUAAAGCUCUCAACUCAGAAAAUGUCUCAGCACUUAGAUUUUUUUUGUAAAGGUACAAAUUGGAUCAAUAGUCUGUGCCAGUGGACACAUUUAGAGGGAGGAAAUCAGUCCUGUAUGUGUCACCUUUUAGAUAUUAGUUAUACUUACAAAAACCCUGCAAAUCUGACACAAUUUCUUAUAUUUUCAAUUGCAGAUUUUAUCAUAUUAACAAAAGCCAUUUAAUCAGUGACAAUUUUUUAAGUCAGUCUUAUAAAAAAAUUUCAAACGAGUCAUCAUUAAAUAAAAUGAUUGAUAUCAUAUCCUGUUUACUGCAGAAAUUACGUCCUGAUUCAAGGUUAAUUACAUACUGAGCGUAUGUAGGACUCGCUACGAGAAAGUAGAAUCAUCAAUGUGUACAUAAAAUAUAACUACGGCAGAAAUUUUAUUAGUCAUCGGGGGUAAAGAUUCACUGAUUGACCUUUAACCAACCCCACAAAGGGACAAAACUCGAGGUGAAGUGUUGAAACAUGUACAUAUGCCUCCUCUCACCUAACAUUUUGGCAGCCCAGCGAAGCAGAAAGAAUGGUGUCAAUCUAAUUACAUCACCACCAAGAAGUUAAUGUGAAAGAUAUGGAUUGCAGCAAAACGAGAAAAAGACCAGAUAAAACAAAAACAGAGCAAAAAUGAAUCAUCCGAUGCAUGGAUCUACUGUAACGCAAUAAUCCGAUUCUGCCAAAAUUCACAUGAUGGAGCAAGAAUUAGAUUCCAAGGGUUUCCCCCAGCACCAAAGUCAUAUGAUGUUAUAAGCUCAGAGAGAGACACCAAAAGUCGCCAGGUAUCUAACAUAACAAUGUCAUUGUCACAAAAUCUUUUUUUUCUGAUUUAAAUGCACAAGAUGACAGGAGAUAAUGUAUGGAUUGCCUCCACGCGGGAUUCACCAAGCGUGUCAUCGCAGUAAGGCACAGUACACACUGUAAAUAAUAUCCUGCUUAUCUUCUAUCAUCUUUGUGUUCUACCUUCAGGCCAAAGUAGUUAAUUAUUAGCUUCUUCAUUGUGUGAAAGCAGAGAUAAGACUGAUGAAUUCUUCAUUUUUGCAUAUUUCAAUCUUUUUGAACCUUCACCAAAUUAUGUGUCUGUUCUGUGAUAAAAAAAAAAAAAGAAAGGUAAAAUUAUCAUGAUGGUUUUAAUUGUCUAGAUAUUAUCACCUCCCCUUUCUCUCCUGAAGGACAAGGUGUUAAAUGGCGUUAAUAAUAGUCCAACACAUUUAUUGUCCAGAUGACGGUGUAGCUUUGAGAUUGCUAUGCAACUAUUUUCAUCAGAAUGCAUUAAUAUCCACAGCUAGGUAACUAAUAUUUUGCCAAGGAUAUCAAGAAAAGCAAUAUUUACAUCAGUGUAUGUCACUCUUGUCAUUAGUAAGCAUUAUAUUUUGUGCAUUCUCAGUUGUCCUGGAUUUCCAGAGUACCCCUAUCCCAUGAAUAUAAAACCUCAACUACAAACACAAUUAUACAUACCAUAACAUUUCAAUGUAUGAAAAUCAUAUCCACAAAAUUACACCCCAAUACAACUGCAAAAUAUGCAUGUAUGUCAGCUAAUCUGAAUCUGGCAAUGCAUUGUGAACAAGCAUACAAGAAAAAUACAGGUUGAAUUUGUAUCACAUUUUCACAAAAGAUGAGUUUAAUGACAAUUAAAUUUUGAAAGUGAUCUGUUCAUCAUCCGAGAAGAAUGAGAAUGUUCCACUACACCAUUAUAGCAUUUUGAUGAGGUCAGUAGAUGUCUUUAUUGACCUGAUGAGAGUAUAUAUUGACUGAGGAUGAGAUCUGAGGUCAACAUACUCUCAACAGGUUGAUAAAAACAUAUUGACCAUUAUCAAAAUAAAGUAUUUUUUAUAUUCAGUUAGUUCCAUUAAACAAGAGCAUUCAGAAAACAAUCUUCUCACCAAUACUCCCCUGAAUCUCUUAGUCUCAUCAACUGGCCGUGUGCACGGAUUGUUCCCGAAAUUAAUCUACUCUUAAUUUGGGGUGAAACAAUACAUCGCGAUGCAGCCAGAUCGCGAUGUAGCAGUCUCGAUUCAAUGUUCGAUUUAUUCUGGGUCUGUUUCGGUUCAAUACGGCUCUCAAACUAUAGCCCACAGGGUUUUUAAUAACACGGCUUCUAAUUGGCCAAUGGACUUGAAGAUUGCCAAAUCAACGUACAAGUAGACUAUUGUAUCAAAAUGGACGCAGUCAUGUUGAAAAAUGCACCUCCAAUGUAUAAAUCGUGGGUAUGGUGACACUUUGGAUUUAGAACAAGUGAUAAAACUAUGGCAACGUGUCAAAUGUUUGAAAGAUGUAGCCGUGAAAACAGGAAGUACUACGAAUCUUGCAACACAUUUGCAAAGGAAGCAUGACAUUCAUGGAUCGAAACUUACUAAAGUUACUUCCAACGUGACGGUAACAAGCAGAGCUGACGAUGAGCGUCGAGAAUCCCAAAAAGCUGGUACAAGUAAAGAUGCUAAUUCUCAGAAAACGCAGAGAUCUGCGUCUGACUGAUAUUUUCAGAGGAAACUUCGGGAAGGAUCACCCCCGGGCACAGGCGAUUACCAAGGCCAUCAGAUAUUUCAUUGCCAGUGACAUGCGGCCGUAUUCUGUCGUUCAAAAGGAAGGUUUCAAACAUUUAGUAAAUACUCUUUGAAGAAUUUGGUAUAUGCUAAUUUAUCAAAUUGAAAAUCAUCGAAUCGAGACUAAAGUAUCAAAAAUCGAAUUGAAUCGAGAAGGUACUGUACUGUUUCACCCCUACUGUUAAUUUCCAGUCAUCAACUUUAAGCUGUGAUUUCAUGUAAUCUCUUCUUGAAUACUUCAAUACACAAUGAUACUGUCACAUACAUCAAACACUGUCACAUACAUCAAACACUGUCACAUACACCAAACACUGUCACAUACAUCAACACUGUCACAUACAUCAACACUGUCACAUACACCAAACACUGUCACAUACAUCAAACACUGUCACAUACAUCAACACUGUCACAUACACCAACACUGUCACAUACAUCAAACACUGUCACAAACAUCAAACACUGUCACAUACAUCAAACACUGUCACAUACAUCAACACUGUCACAUACACCAAACACUGUCACAUACACCAACACUGUCACAUACACCAAACACUGUCACAUACAUCAACACUGUCACAUACAUCAACACUGUCACAUACACCAAACACUGUCACAUACAUCAACACUGUCACAUACAUCAAACACUGUCACAUACAUCAACACUGUCACAUACAUCAACACUGUCACAUACAUCAACACAAUCAUUGACAUUGGCACACAUCAACAAUGUAAUGCACAUCCCUAUUGUCACACAUACACAUUAUCACCUUACCAGAACGUCAAACCUAAGAUGAUAACAUGGGUAGCAAUUGCUCCUAAAUACCAAAAUGCUCAACAUUUAGAAGAGAGAAUUACAGGCUUUUUUCUAGAUAUGACCUUAAAAACUGAGGUCCCAUGUGGUAGUGGCAGGCGUUGGAACGAUAAAGAACUCUCACUUAGCUAUGAUGGCAUUGAGCGCUAAGCAUGGCUAUAGAGCAUUUGUUUCACGACUAGAGAGGUUGCUAGUUGAAACUCGCUUUUGCUAUGACCAUGUCAAAUAUAGGCAGUGAUUGCCCCUUCACCAAAAACUUGGCAGUCCUAUGUGUGGCAGGCAUUGAAACGUUAAAAAACCCUCACUGCUACCACUCUACAUAGGAUUUGAGGUUCUUUGCCUACAGCUGGUGAUGUCUCUACAAGACUGAAAAAUUCUCCAAGGGACGUAAAACAACAAACAAAACCCUCACUCAUGAACUGCACCAAAUCAGCAGACAUUCAUUCCUAUCAUCACUGUACACGGUGACUGACUGUACACCGUCUUCUGUCCUCUGGUCUAAAGAGGUCAAACAGAAGGCCCAUGGACUUAAACUCUCAUCUCAGUAACAGCUUUCAAUUCCUAUCAAAACUUAAAAUUGAAUGUCAGACUAAAAAAUUUGAUCAUUCAGAAAACAAAUGCUUCCAAUGAAUGUUACAGUCAUUCUCUAGUCAAAAAGAGCAUAAUAAUUACUUUGGUCAUUAUGAAGCAAUUCUGAUGACAAUUUAACUACACACACAUACUGUGUAUCUUACAGAGCUUGUAUGCGCAUUCAUUAUCUUUACACCCAGGGCUUGAGAUCUAUAUUUGGUCAGAAAGAAAAUGAAUAAUGCUGGAGAAUUAGUAUUGGUGAGCUUACAAUAUGUCUGCAAGACCUCUACAAGCACUGAAGAUCAGCUAGCAUUUUAAGCAUAUCUAUCAUGAGAUUUUAACAUAUUUAAGGUAUUUUAAAAAUAAUCAUCCCAUCCUGAGGCUUUAAUUAACUGAAGUUUUACUAAACGCAUCACUUUCGCCAAGAAAGUCAUGUUUUCUAUCCUUUAUACUUGUAUGUGUUUGUACGUAUACACACGUUUUUCCGUGGAAAAAAUUACAGCCAACCAUCUAAAUUUUCCCAAAGACAUGUUUGAUUACUGGUAAGACCUGACUAAAUUGUGCAAGCGAUCUGUUCAACAAAACAGUAGCAGAAAAAGCGAGAUUGAUGGGGAGUUUUGUUGGAUAGUUUCUAAACAGUUAUUGACACAAUGCUUGUCUUGGUUGCCUAGUGGUCGUUUGGCACUAUCUUCGCAACAGAAGUACCAUGUCAAGGUAAGAGUUGGCAUGAUAAGUAACUCUCACUUGUAUAGCUAGUACAGACUGCCUUGAGUUUAAAAAAUUGUGGCACUUGGAAAAUACCGCUAUUAAACCAUGAUGUCCAAAUACAUGUAUGAGCAUGAGGUUCUUCAAUGUGGUGUAAAAUAACAAAUUAAACAGCAAAGUCUAAUUAAAUUUAAUUGUAGAUAGGUCGGAGCGACACCAAUGCCCCCACCUAAGGGCCAUAACUCUGUUAAAAGUUAUUUGACCUGACCCAUGGUUGUCCAUGAAAUAUACCGCAGUGAUGGCAACAUUUUUGCAGAAGCAUUACAGUUGGAAUUGGGGAUGAUACAAAAACAACAGACUAAUAAUUAAUCCCUGGUGUUCCACCUCCCUGGCAUCCAAAGUUUGAUCAGAUGGGCAGGUAUACAGAGAGCAAGUCUUUUAACGAUAUAAUGUUGGCAGCAAAGAUGACGAAAUUCUUAGCCUUAAGUCACAUUGACGAGUUCAACAGCAGUGUGUAAAGCUGAGACUUUAACACUAUAUAUGUAGCUAAAGCAAUGCUUUUUGUGUAAUGCCGUCAAAGCAGAGAAAAAUGUUCUUGCACGUACUUCUCAGACUUUUCAGCGACAAAAAUUACUGCUUGGAUUAAAAGCAUUCUGCAGUACAAAAAAUUCAGUGAACUCAUGAAAAUUCAUGGAAAUAGUUUGAACCAGUCAACCAUUACCUCUGAGAGAUUCAGGCUCUAGAAACGAAAUCAACGAGGGGGUGAUUCGAUCAGAGACUAUAUCACAGAAAUUGGGAAAAAAUGUGGUGAUUUCAAACGAAUGUGUGUAUGAUAGUUUAGUCUGUGGUCUCCAUAGCAAGGCAAUUCAGAGUAAACUGUUAAAUGGCAGAAAGAGAUCAGAUGCUGCAAAAAGCCAAACAGAUUCAACAGGCCAUGGAAACCCUAACAAAGAUGUAGUCGAGUUGCAGUCCAAAUAUGUUUUGACUCGUGAACAAGUGAAGGAUGAAAAAGUGAAGAUAACGAACAGCGAUAAAUCUCAAAGAUCCCAUAGAGAAUACAAAAUUAAGAGUAGGGCAAACAUGGACCUCUGGACAUACCUAAGGAUGGAUCAGGUGCCUACGAUAUGUAACAGAAUGAGAGACAAUGGCUUUCGCUCCUGUACCUGGGAAGUAGACAUGGGAAAACAGAGUUCCAAACCCAAUAAGUGUUUUCGUAGUAACAUUACAAAACAUGACCCAGGCCAGUUUAUCACAGACAGUGCUACAACUAUUCAAACACCGAGCCUGCUCCAUGAUGUGUAUUGCAAUAUAUCACUUUUCAAUAAUUUAUGAUGUUGUGUGCCUCUCUGCUUUGAAAAUUAAUGUGCAAGGAUGAGAGAUAUAUUAUUGUGUUAUCAAGUAUGACAUUUAAUAAACCCUGAUUAGGUUG
This is a long non-coding RNA of Ostrea edulis (European flat oyster), 9843 nucleotides long. RefSeq lists it as uncharacterized. The transcript is spliced from 7 exons. NCBI's taxonomy places the organism in Eukaryota, Metazoa, Mollusca, Bivalvia, Ostreida, Ostreidae. The record is from RefSeq and is a predicted model, not a curated record.